This 698-nucleotide long non-coding RNA is filed under the name Cricetulus griseus (Chinese hamster). RNAcentral's name for it is "lncRNA (ENSCGRG00000026018.1)". Lineage: Eukaryota; Metazoa; Chordata; Mammalia; Rodentia; Cricetidae. The record is from RNAcentral.
CAAACUGAAGCCUUUAAGGAAAUGGCACCCAUGGCUCAGGUGAAUUGGUAUGGAAACCAAAUGGGUGAUGAAGCAGUGGUGGGCUCUAGGGACCCCUGACUCUGCUCUCAUUCUCUGAGGUGGCUAGUGAGACCUGUCAUGGAAAGUUGGGGCUUCAAAGAACACAGCUGGAAACUCAUGUGGCUACUGUGACCAGUUUCACAAGAAAAGCCUAGAUCUGAGGCCUGGUGGGCAAACUGUCAAGGGAACACAUCUGGGGUUUCUUGAUAAAUGUGGCAGGAAAAAUAGGACUUCACCAUCUGGAAGGAUUUUUGAGGUAUAUAAAGUUUUAAAGAUACAUAUACAAGAUUUUUUUUAAAACAACCUUGUGAUGGUGAGUUGUAAUCUUGCUUAAUUACUUAUUUUCUUGUUUUUAUCCACUUUUCCAAGUAGACUGUGAACAGCUUGGGAGAAGGGCCUCACCUGUUCUGUGGGCACCUCAGUCUCUGGCUCAGUGGCUAACCCACCGGUGAGCACUAAGGAAGUCUGCAUGACCAUAUAUAAUCCAAGCACUUGGGAGGUUGAGGUAGGCUGGUCUAGAGUUCAAGGUCUCGGGCAACAUAGUGAAACCCUGUGUCAGAAAUGAAUAAAUAAACUUUAAACACUGGUUUAGGACCAGGCAGGCCAACAGGGAGCAUUUUCUUCUUUUACAGGUCAAG